This 856-nucleotide ribosomal RNA is filed under the name uncultured bacterium. Its description in RNAcentral is "bacterial SSU rRNA". It matches the Rfam family "Bacterial small subunit ribosomal RNA", at positions 28 to 896 of the family's 1533-position model. The record is from RNAcentral.
AAUGAACGUUGGCGGCGUGGAUUAGGCAUGCAAGUCGAACGGGCCUGGUUUUCGGAUUAGGUCAGUGGCGCAAGGGUGAGUAAGGCGACGGUAACCAACCCCAUGGUUGGGUAUAGCCGCGGGAAACUGCGGGUAAUCCCCAGCGAUGUAAGAUGCCGGCAUCGGUGUUUUAUCAAAGCUUUGGCGCCGUGGGACGGGCCGUCGUGGUAUUAGGUUGUUGGCGGGGUAACGGCCCACCAAGCCGAUGAUGCCUACCGGGCGUGCGAGCGUGGCCCGGCACACUGGGACUGAGACACUGCCCAGACUCCUACGGGAGGCUGCAGUCGAGAAUCUUCGGCAAUGGGCGCAAGCCUGACCGAGCGACGCCGCGUGGAGGAUGAAGGCCUUCGGGUUGUAAACUCCUGUCGAGGGGGAGGAAGGGGAAACCUUGACCGAUCCCUGGAGGAAGCACGGGCUAAGUUCGUGCCAGCAGCCGCGGUAAGACGAACCGUGCGAACGUUAUUCGGAAUCACUGGGCUUAAAGCGCGUGUAGGCGGAUGGGAACGUCGGAUACUGAAAGCCCCCGGCUCAACCGGGGAAGUGGUUCCGAAACGGCCUGUCUGGAGGGACGUAGGGGGAUCUGGAACUUCCGGUGGAGCGGUGAAAUGCGUUGAGAUCGGAAGGAACGCCCGUGGCGAAAGCGAGGUCCUGGACGUCUGCUGACGCUGAGACGCGAAAGCUAGGGGAGCAAACGGGAUUAGAUACCCCGGUAGUCCUAGCCGUAAACGAUGGGCACUGGGUAGGGGGCUCGCCGAUGGGCUCUCUGCCGUAGCGAAAGCGUGAAGUGCCCCGCCUGGGGAGUAUGGUCGCAAGGCUG